Long non-coding RNA from Oncorhynchus gorbuscha (pink salmon), 2336 nucleotides. RefSeq lists it as uncharacterized. The record is from RefSeq and is a predicted model, not a curated record. The transcript has 4 exons. NCBI's taxonomy places the organism in Eukaryota, Metazoa, Chordata, Actinopteri, Salmoniformes, Salmonidae.
GCUCGCGCGGAGCGGAGAGGAGAUGCGUGUAUAAAUAUCAGAGUGCCUCUUCUCUCCGCUAUAGCAGACCUGACACAUCACCUAAUUGUCCCUGUCACAUCUCCUGUGUGUCCUCACCAAGACCGCACUUCCCGAAGGAGUCGACUAGAAAACGGUUGGUUUAUUCUACAGGUUGGUGCGUCUCUCGAUCUCCGUGGAGUUUAUAAACUAACUACUAAACCUUUUGGGGAUUUAAAAACAACUCCAGCUCGCUGCGCGCCUCUCUUUUUCUCUUCGCUCGGCUCUUACUCUAGUGUCAACGCCAAAGCUACCGGUGUAUCGGUAGUCUAGCCUGCUAAUAGGAAUACAACAGACUGCUUUGGGUCGCUGUGGACUGUACAUGCUGCUGAAAGGAGCGGCCAGUGCCAGCUGUGGCUGUAAGGACCAGAGGUGUUUGUUUUCAAGGUGCGCCUUUUUGCGGUUAGUUCCAGCUCAUCUCCUCCCAGUGCCAUUGAUCAGUGUCAAAAUAAAUCGGGCUACAAAAUAUACAUGUAUCCCUACAUGUAAUUAAUGCAAUUUACACAAUGCCAUCCUUAUAGACUUUGACCGUGCAUGACAGCAACAAUGGUACGGUAUCUGUGCGUUAACAACCGUAUCAUGUACCAACACGUUUCACCCGGCAGGCAAGCACAACUCGUGCAAGUGGUAGCAUUGUUAAAACCACAAAUUCUAUUUAUAGGGCUGGUUUGUGUAUGAUGUUGUAUAAUAUGAUACUGUGCAGCAAGGGUAGCCUAUGUUGUGUAUUUUCAAGCGCUCCGUUCGCAUGUGCCACUGUAUCUUGCGCUCGCUUCUCAUAACGUGCGCGCCCGGUUUCGCUGCCCUGGGUGCAUCAAGUGCACAGUCAUCAGGUAUGUGUUUGUUAUAUUCUUCCAACAACAUUCCGUCAUUUUCAACAUGUCCAUAUAUUCAAGUUGUAUUGCUGAUAAUAGUUGGGUGUUUUUCAGAUUGAUGCGCCCAUAUACGAACCUAUAGCUAAUCGGUGAUGAUAUCGAACUCAGUCAGUAUUGGUGAGUCUCUCUUGUAAAAGAUGCAUAGCUAGCAGAGAUGACGAUGAUGAUGAUAUCAAAUCUCAGGAAAGGAAUGACCAUGACCGGAUUUCAAGGCCAUAAUUGACAAGAUCCCUGCAUGAGAGAACGAGAGAGAGACAGAGAGGGAGGGAGGGAUGUUUGGAAGCAACAGAGGUCCACAUUAGAGCCACAGAACAGGGAUUGAAGGAACACCCAUUGGAACCAUGGAAUCAGUCCUGGGAAUGUCAAAGCAUCUCAGAGAAACAGAUACCUGGGUUUGACUGACAGCCAGAGGUUCACUAACUAAUUGGUAUAUUCAGAAUGUACUCUAGGUUUCCACACCACCCAUAACCAAGGAGAGGAGAGAAAAAGGAGAGGAAAGGAGAAUGGAGAAGAGAAAAGGAGGACAAGAGAGGAGAUGAAAGGAGAAGAGAAGAAAGGACAGAUGAUGAGAGGACAGACGAUGAGAGGAGAGAAGGAGAAAGGACGGAUGAAGAGGAGAUAGGAGAGGAGAAGAGAGUCGUGAGAAGAAGUCAGGAAUACAGAAGGAAGACUGUGGGAACAAGAGUGGAUCCAGCCCGCUUGACUGUGGUGACAAGCCUUUCAUUUCCAUGCUGAGACAAGUCUGAUAACCUGGCUGUGGGACUGACUGGUUGUGGUUGACAACAUCUGUAGGAGGUGUGUGUGAAUGUGUGCAGACUGGAUGUCCUGCUCCCCUUAAAUCAGUCAUCUCAUUGUCUGUAUAAAAGGACACACAGAAGAAACCUCAACAAAUGCUUUUGUUGGUUAGUUUCAAAGCAUCACAAUAACAGUUUUGCUCUUUACUGUCAUGCUAUAGCUGGCAGUCUGAUCAUUUUUUUCCUCUCUCCUGGGGAAUGAGAACAAGGACAAAUAAGAUGAACUUUUUUUAAAGAAAUCUGUAGAUCUUUAAAAAUGACAAUAAAAACAUUGGAAGAGAGAUUCUAGCUAAAGCUAAAACCACUAGCCUGCUGAACAUCUGUAGUGUGUUGGUUCCAGAAGGUAAGUAGUGCUGUGUUGGUUUUAAUAAUGACCUGUUGUUCCACCUCAUGACUCCCAUCAGAUUAGAUCAAGUAUCACCCUGUGUGUGUAUGUGGUGUGUGUCAGAUCAGCCAAUGGUAGGCCAGCCGUGUGCGUGUGUGCGUGUGUGCGCGCGUGUGUGUGUCUGUCACAUGCCAUGUCUAUUCCAGGCCAUUACACAGUUAUAGUGCAGCUCCACAGGGGGCCCAAUUAGAGUAGAUUAGAUUAUGAAGGGGAUGCUGGCCACUCCCU